This 419-nucleotide ribosomal RNA is filed under the name Coleosporium telioevodiae. RNAcentral describes it as "eukaryotic LSU rRNA". The stretch from base 1 to 127 matches the Rfam family "5.8S ribosomal RNA", at positions 29 to 154 of the family's 154-position model. Lineage: Eukaryota; Fungi; Basidiomycota; Pucciniomycetes; Pucciniales; Coleosporiaceae. The record is from RNAcentral.
CACAUCGAUGAAGAACACAGUGAAAUGUGAUAAGUAAUGUGAAUUGCAGAAUUCAGUGAAUCAUCGAAUCUUUGAACGCACCUUGCACCUUUUGGUUAUUCCAAAAGGUACGCCUGUUUGAGUGUCAUGAAAACCUCUCAUUCCAAUUCUUUAAUUUUUAAAGGGUUGUGAUAUGGAUGUUGAGUGCUGCCGUUAUUUGGCUCACUUUAAAUGUAUAAGUACUUUUGUUGAAGAAAUAAAUGGAUAUUUACUCAGUGUAAUAUUAAUUAUUCAUUGAGGAGUGUAGUCAUCAUUUUGUGUAUGACUUACAGCCAUUUGACUAUUCAAUAAAUAGCUUCCUAACUCAUUUCAAUUUUUUAGACCUCAAAUCAGGUGGGACUACCCGCUGAACUUAAGCAUAUCAAUAAGUGGAGGAAAAG